Molecule: ribosomal RNA, 388 nt
Filed under: uncultured bacterium
Lineage: Bacteria
Description: bacterial SSU rRNA
Rfam family: Bacterial small subunit ribosomal RNA
Source: RNAcentral
GACGAACGCUGGCGGCGUGCUUAACACAUGCAAGUCGAGCGGUAAGGCCCUUUCGGGGGUACACGAGCGGCGAACGGGUGAGUAACACGUGGGUGACCUGCCCUUAGCUCUGGGAUAAGCCUGGGAAACUGGGUCUAAUACCGGAUAUGACUCCAUGACGCAUGCUGUGGGGUGGAAAGCCUUGUGCGGCUAGGGAUGGGCCCGCGGCCUAUCAGCUUGUUGGUGGGGUGAUGGCCACCAAGGCGACGACGGGUAGCCGGCCUGAGAGGGCGACCGGCCACACUGGGACUGAGACACGGCCCAGACUCCUACGGGAGGCAGCAGUGGGGAAUCUUGCGCAAUGGGCGAAAGCCUGACGCAGCGACGCCGUGUGAGGGAUGACGGCCUC